RNAcentral lists this ribosomal RNA (324 nucleotides) under uncultured bacterium. RNAcentral's name for it is "bacterial SSU rRNA". It matches the Rfam family "Bacterial small subunit ribosomal RNA", at positions 18 to 344 of the family's 1533-position model. The record is from RNAcentral.
CAUGGCUCAGGAUGAACGCUAGCGGGAGGCCUAACACAUGCAAGCCGAGCGGUAUUUAUUCUUCGGAAUAGAGAGAGCGGCGUACGGGUGCGGAACACGUGUGCAACCUGCCUUUAUCAGGGGGAUAGCCUUUCGAAAGGAAGAUUAAUACCCCAUAAUAUAUUGAAUGGCAUCAUUUGAUAUUGAAAACUCCGGUGGAUAGAGAUGGGCACGCGCAAGAUUAGAUAGUUGGUAGGGUAACGGCCUACCAAGUCAGUGAUCUUUAGGGGGCCUGAGAGGGUGAUCCCCCACACUGGUACUGAGACACGGACCAGACUCCUACGG